Molecule: ribosomal RNA, 166 nt
Filed under: uncultured Allobosea sp.
Lineage: Bacteria; Pseudomonadati; Pseudomonadota; Alphaproteobacteria; Hyphomicrobiales; Alloboseaceae
Description: uncultured Bosea sp. partial 16S ribosomal RNA
Rfam family: Bacterial small subunit ribosomal RNA
Source: RNAcentral
UCCUACGGGAGGCAGCAGUGGGGAAUAUUGGACAAUGGGCGCAAGCCUGAUCCAGCCAUGCCGCGUGAGUGAUGAAGGCCUUAGGGUUGUAAAGCUCUUUUGUCCGGGAAGAUAAUGACUGUACCGGAAGAAUAAGCCCCGGCUAACUUCGUGCCAGCAGCCGCGG